AACGCGAAGAACCUUACCAGGUCUUGACAUCCUCUGACACUCCUAGAGAUAGGACGUUCCCCUUCGGGGGACAGAGUGACAGGUGGUGCAUGGUUGUCGUCAGCUCGUGUCGUGAGAUGUUGGGUUAAGUCCCGCAACGAGCGCAACCCUUGAUCUUAGUUGCCAGCAUUCAGUUGGGCACUCUAAGGUGACUGCCGGUGACAAACCGGAGGAAGGUGGGGAUGACGUCAAAUCAUCAUGCCCCUUAUGACCUGGGCUACACACGUGCUACAAUGGACAGAACAAAGGGCUGCGAGACCGCAAGGUUUAGCCAAUCCCACGAAUCUGUUCUCAGUUCGGAUCGCAGUCUGCAACUCGACUGCGUGAAGCUGGAAUCGCUAGUAAUCGCGGAUCAGCAUGCCGCGGUGAAUACGUUCCCGGGCCUUGUACACACCG
RNAcentral lists this ribosomal RNA (435 nucleotides) under uncultured bacterium. Its description in RNAcentral is "bacterial SSU rRNA". It matches the Rfam family "Bacterial small subunit ribosomal RNA", at positions 958 to 1392 of the family's 1533-position model. The record is from RNAcentral.